RNAcentral lists this ribosomal RNA (253 nucleotides) under uncultured bacterium. Its description in RNAcentral is "partial 16S ribosomal RNA". It matches the Rfam family "Bacterial small subunit ribosomal RNA", at positions 524 to 776 of the family's 1533-position model. The record is from RNAcentral.
UACGUAGGGGGCAAGCGUUGUCCGGAUUUAUUGAGCGUAAAGAGCGUGUAGGCGGUUUGGUAGGUCCGUUGUGAAAACUCGAGGCUCAACCUCGAGACGUCGGUUGAAACCGUUUGGCUAGAGUCCGGAAGAGGAGAGUGGAAUUCCCGGUGUAGCGGUGAAAUGCGCAGAUAUCGGGAAGAACACCCGUGGCGAAGGCGGCUCUCUGGGACGGUACUGACGCUGAGACGCGAAAGCGUGGGGAGCGAACAGG